RNAcentral lists this ribosomal RNA (273 nucleotides) under uncultured bacterium. RNAcentral's name for it is "partial 16S ribosomal RNA". It matches the Rfam family "Bacterial small subunit ribosomal RNA", at positions 84 to 354 of the family's 1533-position model. The record is from RNAcentral.
CCCGCCGGCGACCGGCGCACGGGUGAGUAACACGUAUGCAACCUGGCCGCCACAGGGGGAUAACCCGCGGAAACGCGGCCUAAUACCCCGUGACGCCACCGGAGGGCAUCCUCCGGUGGGCCAAAGGAGCGAUCCGGUGGCGGAUGGGCAUGCGGCGCAUUAGCUAGACGGCGGGGUGACGGCCCACCGUGGCGACGAUGCGUAGGGGUUCUGAGAGGAAGGCCCCCCACACUGGGACUGAGACACGGCCCAGACUCCUACGGGAGGCAGCAG